This is a small nuclear RNA of Jaculus jaculus (lesser Egyptian jerboa), 78 nucleotides long. The record is from Ensembl. NCBI's taxonomy places the organism in Eukaryota, Metazoa, Chordata, Mammalia, Rodentia, Dipodidae.
GUGCUCGCUUUGGCAGCACAUAUACUAAAAUUAGAAUGAUACAGAGAAGAUUAGCAUGACCUCUGUGCAAGGAUGACA